GAUCUGUUUAAUCCCACGCUAUCGCAAGCUUUCGCGGAUGGAGGGCAAGAGGGGAAAGGAGGGGGUCUAGUCCGCAUCCUUCCCUUCCUCCUCCCACCCCCACCCCGCCUGAGCCACCUGACCCGUCUCAAAGUUGCCGGGCUGCGGCGCGCAUGGCCUUUGUGCGCGCGGAGCAGCGGCCUGGAACCUGGAGCCUGAGCCAACUGGACUGUGUCGCCCCACCUUCGUGCCCCUUCCUCUCCCUCACGUACCCAGGAGCUAACAAAUAAAUAAAUCCACAAAU
RNAcentral lists this long non-coding RNA (283 nucleotides) under Mus musculus (house mouse). Its description in RNAcentral is "long non-coding RNA chr2:180890683-180890966". The record is from RNAcentral. Lineage: Eukaryota; Metazoa; Chordata; Mammalia; Rodentia; Muridae.